UAAGGGCGCACGGUGGAUGCCUUGGCACUAGAAGCCGAUGAAGGACGUUACUAACGACGAUAUGCUUUGGGGAGCUGUAAGUAAGCUUUGAUCCAGAGAUUUCCGAAUGGGGAAACCCAGCAUGAGUUAUGUCAUGUUAUCGAUAUGUGAAUACAUAGCAUAUCAGAAGGCACACCCGGAGAACUGAAACAUCUUAGUACCCGGAGGAAGAGAAAGAAAAUUCGAUUCCCUUAGUAGCGGCGAGCGAAACGGGAAGAGCCCAAACCAACAAGCUUGCUUGUUGGGGUUGUAGGACACUCUAUACGGAGUUACAAAGGACGACAUUAGACGAAUC
Molecule: ribosomal RNA, 334 nt
Filed under: Staphylococcus aureus
Lineage: Bacteria; Bacillati; Bacillota; Bacilli; Caryophanales; Staphylococcaceae
Description: partial 23S ribosomal RNA
Rfam family: Bacterial large subunit ribosomal RNA
Source: RNAcentral